CACGUGCUCUGCAAAGAAUCUGAUAGCAGCCAUUUAUAGUAUAAGGUCACAGACUUCAAGAAGCUAGUGUCAGAAUUUGGACUAAAAUCUAUGUCUCUUCAUUGAAGUGUCCUCUUCCCUGGUCUUUACUGCCCCAGAAUGUAUUUCUUCCCCUACCAUACCACAGGCAUGGUGCUCAGAGCGGUUCUCAAUUAUUUAAUGUCACAACACAGUAGGUCUGUAGUAUCAUCAUUCUAAGUUACAGAUGAGAAAACAGGUUUAAGGAGCUUAAGAGACUUUCCCAAAGUUAACAUAGCUGUGGGGUGGGUGCAUGUGGGGAGGAGAGCUUCACAUAUGAGUGUGUUUGACCACAUUGCCUACCCACAAGUGAAACAUGAAAACCUGACCCCAUCCACUUAAAGGUUCACUGUCUAUGCCUCAGAGUCUCCCCACAGGAUUAUUGCCAGCCCCAGGGGUAAGAGAGAGGGGCUUGGUUUCCAGCUCUGCCACUCAAGGUGGGGUACCUUGAGUACAUCCCUUACUGUGUUUAUGGUUUAGUUUCUGCACCCGUAGCUCUAGAAAUAAAAACUCACCACAAAGUAAAACUUAGAUUUUCAGGGCAUUUGGCUCCAUCUUCUGGUCAGUUCCAAUCACUGCAGCUUUUCGCAGUGUGGCUAUCCACUGUGGACAUCAGGUAAUGUAGAGGCUUCUAGGAAACUUCUGGACACUGUGGGGAUUAGGGGUGCCUGGCGCAGAACCAGAGCUGACCUGAAAGUCCAUGGAAUUUCUGUGGCCUCUGGGUCACAUUGACCCUCUGCUGCUAGUGGCUAGGUGGAGUCUCAGGGAGGUAACCAUGGUGGGGAGAAGCUCCCAGUGCCAGAGUAGGAGCGACAUUGGAGAUCAUGGAGUCUAGCCCCACCAAAGGACACAUGGGGACACUGAGGCCUGGGAGAACAGGGACUCGCUCCAGGCCACACACAUAGUUUCCAGGUUUCCUGACACCCAAAUCCACUGGCCUCCUGUCUGCCUAACUGUGGGCCCCCUCACCUCUUCUGCAAAGAUCCCAUCCUAGCUGGUCACUUCUCGUCCUCCUGAGACAGGGCCAUCUGCUUAAUAAGCGUGCUGGCCAUCCACUUGCUCCCUUGACAACCCACCCUCUCCUUGUCCCAGCUCCAGCCCUGACUGGGUGGGGUGUCCCUCCACCUCUCCAAGCCUGGGCUUUCCUGGAGAAAUGGGGGGCACGGAACGAAGAGGGAGGUAGAGAUCUGCAUCUCUUCCAGCUCUGCCCCACUUCCCGCCCAGCCUCUCUCAACCUCAGUUUCCCCAUUUGACACACAACCAACCACUACACCAGAUUCCUAAGAAGAUUAAGUGGAUAGUUGGUGUGAAGGUGCUCUGUGAAUUCUUGAGCCCUCUAAUAAAGUAUUAAAUUUCCAGGUCUAUUUGGGUCCUCCCCAGGACACAUAGGACCCAAUUAGCCUACAGAUUAUGGGACCCUCUUCAGAGGAGGGAAAUGAGCCGUUUUUCUAAUCUCAUGGCUUCAGGAUCUGGGGCUUCCUGGCAGAGUCUAGGAUUGAACUCCUUCCUUCCACCCAGAUUCUGCUUAUUUCUGGACAACAAUUAAGUCUUAGUUCAAUAGAGUAUCUUAGAGGCACUGCCACUGACCCAGAAGCUAGCCUUUGAAAGCCCAGGAGCUGUAAUGGGAGAGGCAGAGGAGGAUCAGUUUGUCCGAGUGUCUUCCCUUCCCUUGUCUGGACAUAGGAUCCAUGGCCUCUAGUUUAGACAAGUGAGGCCCAGACAAACAGCUGAAGAAGAGGGGAAAUCUUUCCCAGCUUGAGUCUUGAGCUCUCACUGCAGUCUUGAUUCUGUUUGAACUUCAGAGUGUUGGAGAAACAGGAGGCAAGAAGGGAUGGUUGAGGUCAUCUAGAGCAGCCCUGCCUUUCCUGCAUGCUCCCAAAGGUGGGGGGGGGGGUGUCACUACCUUUUCUAGGAAGCCCAGUGCCUCCUCAAGCAGCUCUAACCCUUAGAAAAGUCCCACUCAAUGAUUCUAGAGGGAGGGUCUGAGACUACUUAUACCACAGUCACCUGGGGUGACUUGCUGAAUCAAACCAUCUGGGACAGGCCUGGAAUCUGCAUCUACAACAGCCUCUGCAGGUGAGGAGGCAUGUGAACUUCAGGAGCCGUUGUUCCACCUCUGUUGCCCCGGGAAUGACACUCUCAGCACCUGCCCUGGACACAGUUCUACCAACCCUUUCUGACAGGACAUGGUUUUCCCUUUUCUCAACACUCUGCUCCGUCACUUCUCAGGUUCUUCUCUCUUUUUCCUGGUCUCCAUGCCUGUUUCGUAAAUAGGACAUCAUAGAAUUUGGGGGCUAGAAGUGUAUUAACAGAACACCGUAUCCAACUCAUUUUAUAGAUGUAGUAUUUGAGACCCAGAGAGGGCAGUAUCUUGCCCCAGGUCACACAGCUAUUCCAUGGGAGCUAACAGGAGACACAAUCCCAUGACUCCUAGUGAGUGCCCUUCCCACCGUGCUGUUCUGUCCUGCUGUAAAAGCUGCAUUGUAGGGCAAUGCCCAUCCCAGACCCCUUCUUAGAUGCAGCCAUCGUGGUGUCAUCAUGGGACUCUCCCUGACCAAAACUGACUGGACCAGGAAUGGUCAUCUGAACUCUGAGUUGGAUCAGUCAGAUUUUCUCUUGAAAGAGAGUCAUUGCUGAGGGUCACUGAUGCUAUUGAGAGCUGGGGCUAAGAGGUCAAGCAGACUCUAGGGCUGGGGGUUGGGGUGGCAAUUUGUGUACCAUGUGUGCUGAGGAGCAGGUAGAGAAAGAGGACCUAUAGAGAGAAACAUACCAGAGGUGGGCUACUGUACAAUGACAGAGAGAGAGGGAGAGAGAGGCCCUUAGAGGGGGGAAGAUUGCAAUAACAAUUAGAGACAGAGACACACAUACAUACAUACAUACAAAUAGAUGGAGAGAUAUAAACACAGAGAGACAUAGAGGGAGAGACUGGAAUAGAGAUGUGUGUGUGAGAGAGAGAGAGGGAGGGAGAGAGAUAUUGACUUAGACAAAGACAAUGAAAGAAAGAGAGACAGAGAUGGAGCCCCUGGCACUCGGUAUUUUUCCAUUUUUUCCCCAAGGUCCAGCUGUACCGUCCCCCCUGCCCCACCCCAACCCCUGCCUUGCUUGCCUUCUCUGAUUUGCCUCCAAUCUCUCCCCAACCACCUUUACACUUGAGUGAUCUUCAGUGGGUUUCUGCCUCUUGCAACCAUGUGAUUCCCAACCAACCCAGCCCUGGAGGGGUUUCUGGAGGGAUGGGGAUGCUCACAGAUCUGCCUGAGAGGCAAAUGUUGCACUCUGGGGAAGCAAACACUGCAUUCUGCUUAUCAGACCACCUGUCACUUCUUGUUACCUCCAGGACCUGGAGAUGACUCUAUUCCUCAGCAGAUAUAGCAGAGCAGCCAGCUCCCAGUGGUUGGCUGGCCUCCCGCCAGCGGCAGUCUUCCUGGGAGCAGACUCCCUGCCCAUCCAGAGCAGUGUUAAUGAGACCCAGGCUGUGCUCAUUGUCACCUCUAGGCCUGUGUUCACUUGACAUCCUUUCCUUCCCAGGACUGUCCUCUCUGCCCAGGCCACGCCCCACUUACCUUUCCACUCCUCCAGUAAGCCUUCCUAACAGCCAACCCUGCAGCACACAGGAAUCCUUCCCUUUCUAAAUGUUCCCUAUACCUCUUAUCUCUCCUUUGUCCUUUAGUGCAUAUCACUCCAAAAUUAUGUCACAUAAAGGGCUAUUACACUAAGUUAUAAGCCCAUCAAGCUUACCACGUGAGUAGAAAAGGAAAUCACUGAAUUUGUAUGUUUGGGAUAAUAAGAGCUAUUCAUAACAUAGAAGGUUAUUUGGAUGCUGUGAAUCUUGUAGCACUAGUUACCGAGAAACUCAUGUGAUCCUCACGACUGUUUACAAAACAGGAACUGGGGUCACAGAAGAGUCACUUGUUAAAAGGUCACGUCUGUAGUCAAGGACAGAGGGCAAAGGAGAUUUCAUGGCAGAUUCCUCCCCCUUCCCACUUGGCUGGCUGGUGCCUAACAGUCCACCAUUGGAAUUUUGUCCUUUUGUUUUAAAGCUGUAAUUAUUGUAAAAUACAGAUUUUUUUUUUUUUUUUUUACUAGAGGAAGAAAAUUUUCCAGACCAUCAUAAAUUGCCUACUUGAGAGACAGACAUCUGAAUAACCAGCACCCUCCUGUUUGCUGAGUGUGUCGUAUGGAAUGCUCGUUCCUUGGGAUGUUAAAUAAGUUUUACUAAGGAGGAAAAAAAAGGCAAUUUAGUGUGGGAAGCACCAGAUUAAACUGCUGGCUGAGGGGCGCUGUGGGUCUGUAAGUAGGGAAGAAAUGUGCUGUAUUCACUAUAUAAAUUUGACCGUGGCUUCUGUUCUUACAGCUCACCUCUCCGAUUAGGCUUCCAUGGACCCUUUUGGUAGAAACGCUGCCUGAACCCACUGGAUAACCCAGUUACCACUGAGCACAAUUUCUAGUUUUUUAAUGCUUCCUGUGGACACACACCUGGCUGCCCUUCUUUUGCAUUUGGUGGUGCUGCCUGCCAGGUGGCUUCUCAGGGCCUUGUCCUGGCAAAGAGCCAUGAAUCUACUGAGGAGCGAGCCCCUCCAGAAGCACCGUGAUUUUCACAUGGAGCUCCUGAAGAUCACGAAGACUUGCAGGUUCACAAGCGGCUGCCGCAGGAUCCAGUGUCCUGGAGCGUCAGAGUCGACUGAGCGUCAGGAGGGCGGCCAGGUACCCAGGAUGGCGGCAGGUCAGGACUGUGCCCACGAGCCAGGCAAGCAGUAGAGGCGCCUUCUGGGCAUCAGGGCAUCCUCAGGAGUCUAUGGCGCUAUGCCUGAAAGGCACAUGAUGUUGCAGAACAGACAUGGCAUGUUCUACAGUACUGGUUGGUCUCAGAACGCCCUUCCUCC
Molecule: long non-coding RNA, 4937 nt
Organism: Hippopotamus amphibius kiboko
Lineage: Eukaryota; Metazoa; Chordata; Mammalia; Artiodactyla; Hippopotamidae
Exons: 3
Source: RefSeq, a predicted model, not a curated record